UACGUAGGGGGCGAGCGUUGUCCGGAUUUAUUGGGCGUAAAGAGCUCGUAGGUGGUUCGAUAAGUCGGGUGUGAAAACUCUGGGCUUAACUCAGAGACGCCACCCGAUACUGUCGUGACUUGAGUCUGGUAGGGGAGUGUGGAAUUCCCGGUGUAGCGGUGAAAUGCGCAGAUAUCGGGAGGAACACCAGUGGCGAAGGCGGCACUCUGGGCCAGUACUGACACUGAGGAGCGAAAGCGUGGGUAGCGAACAGGAUUAGAAACCCGAGUAGUCC
This 274-nucleotide ribosomal RNA is filed under the name uncultured bacterium. Its description in RNAcentral is "partial 16S ribosomal RNA". It matches the Rfam family "Bacterial small subunit ribosomal RNA", at positions 524 to 796 of the family's 1533-position model. The record is from RNAcentral.